Molecule: ribosomal RNA, 257 nt
Filed under: uncultured bacterium
Lineage: Bacteria
Description: partial 16S ribosomal RNA
Rfam family: Bacterial small subunit ribosomal RNA
Source: RNAcentral
CUAGAGUUUGAUCAUGGCUCAGAACGAACGCUGGCGGCAGGCUUAACACAUGCAAGUCGAACGCGUGUAGCAAUACACGAGUGGCGCACGGGUGAGUAACACGUGGAUUAUCUGCCUCUUGGUUCGGAAUAACCCCGGGAAACUGGGGCUAAUACCGAAUGGUUCCUACGGGAUAAAGAUUUAUCGCCAGAGAUGAGUCCGCGGCCGAUUAGCUAGUUGGUGGGGUAAUGGCCUACCAAGGCGACGGCCCAAUCGCC